GUUAAAAUAGAAAAGUUAGGGCAGAGGAUGAUGAAGUUAUGUUUUAGUCACUAUGAGUUUAGAUUGGUGAGGAAAAGUGAAGUGUUAAGUGAAAGGGAAAAUUUGGAAGUUUUCAUUUGAUCCUAAACAGCAGUCAGAGAUACACGAAGAAAAUAAAGAUUGUUUGCUAUUAUGGAAACAGGCAGGAGUAUGCCAGGAGGGCUUCAUGUAAUAGAGGUAAGAAGCAAAGUGAGAUCUGAUGAAAGGCUGUGAGAUUUGGUCUUUAGGUUACAUACAGACCAUGUAACAAGUUAGUACUUGCCUUCUAAUACUUAACAAACAUUCUUAGAAAUCUUUAUCAUGUAGUCACAUUCAUUCAGCCUAUUUCUUCUAUUAACAAAGUGAUUAUACAGUUACUAAAAAGAAGACUUUUGUAUUCAUGCAGGACAACAACAGGCUGGAGUUGUUGCCCAUCCUCCUGCAGUGCCUCCAAGACCACAGCCCUCACAGGCUCCUGGUCCUGCUGUGCAUCGCCCAGUGGAUGCCGAUGGCCUCAUAACUCAUACUAGUACCUCACCUCAGCAGAUACCAGAGCAACCAAAUUUUGCAGAUUUCAGCCAGUUUGAAGUAUUUGCUGCAUCAAAUGUAAACGAAGAACAAGAUGAUGAAGCCGAGAAACAUCCGGAAGUCCUGCCGGCUGAAAAAGCUUCUGAUCCUGCAAGCUCUCUUCGAGUUGCCAAAACAGAUAGUAAAACUGAAGAAAAGACAGCUGCUAGUGCUCCUGCCAAUGUGAGCAAAGGCACAACACCACUUG
RNAcentral lists this small RNA (793 nucleotides) under Pongo abelii (Sumatran orangutan). Its description in RNAcentral is "retained intron". Lineage: Eukaryota; Metazoa; Chordata; Mammalia; Primates; Hominidae. The record is from RNAcentral.